AAUGGAGUGCCUGAUUUAAAAGGAUUAUUUUGAUAGAAUAAAUUAUGUAUUUAUACCUCCAUUA
This 64-nucleotide transfer RNA is filed under the name Stricticollis tobias. RNAcentral's name for it is "tRNA-Ile". The record is from RNAcentral. Lineage: Eukaryota; Metazoa; Arthropoda; Insecta; Coleoptera; Anthicidae.